UACGUAGGGUGCAAGCGUUGUCCGGAAUUACUGGGCGUAAAGCGUGCGUAGGCGGUUUGUUAAGUCCGUUGUGAAAGCCCUGGGCUCAACCUGGGAAUUGCAGUGGAUACUGGCGAGCUAGAGUGCGGUAGAGGAUGGUGGAAUUCCCGGUGUAGCGGUGAAAUGCGUAGAGAUCGGGAGGAACACCCGUGGCGAAGGCGGCUAUCUGGACCAGCACUGACGCUGAGGCACGAAGGCGUGGGGAGCAAACAGG
Molecule: ribosomal RNA, 253 nt
Filed under: uncultured bacterium
Lineage: Bacteria
Description: partial 16S ribosomal RNA
Rfam family: Bacterial small subunit ribosomal RNA
Source: RNAcentral